RNAcentral lists this long non-coding RNA (1222 nucleotides) under Astyanax mexicanus (Mexican tetra). RNAcentral describes it as "lncRNA (ENSAMXG00005006754.1)". The record is from RNAcentral. Lineage: Eukaryota; Metazoa; Chordata; Actinopteri; Characiformes; Acestrorhamphidae.
AUAUAUUUAUUAAAUGUCUUUCUUACCUGCACUUACGUCCGUCUCUAUGUCUUCCCUACACCUCACCCUGACAAUUACUAUAUUUUACAUUACCUUUGACUUUAAUUUGAGGCAAUAUGAACCCAAUAUAUUUCAUGUUUUGUCAAAUUCAUUUAUUUUAUUAAUAUACAUCAAUUCCUGCAUUCCAGACCUGAAAUACAGUUCAAAAAAGUUUGUGACACAAACAUAUAGUAUUGAAAUUAAGUUGGCCAGACAAAAUAUUAGUAUUAAAAUGCAGCUUCAUUAGUACUUCAUUGUAUACAGGCACACACUGUCUAUAUGUACAGUAUAUGCAGCAUUAUAACCAUUGUCCCAGUUUCAUUGUUUUAGGGGGUAUCUUUGAGACUAGCCGUUAUUUCCUUCAGGACAGGCGUUUUUUGGGGUGUGUGCAUGCUUGUUUGUUCUUCCUCUCCUCUCUUUCAGCGCUGUUGUGGAGGGCUCCUGAAAUCCUGAAGCUAAUGGCACUCAGAAGGGGGAUGUGUAGAGUUUUGUCAUCAUCGCACAGGAAGUGGUGUACCGCCGAGGACCCUUCUACAUCCCCAGCAGCUCUCUGGGGGCCAGAGUGGGAGAAAAUAAGUUGUGAAGUUGCCAGAUCUUGCACCUGUCCCAACUCCACUUCUGCGUGACGAACCAGCAAAGUCCUCCCGCCUUUUAAGCCUACCUUUUAAAAUCCUUCUCGGCUUUUCCCUGUAUUUUUAGAUCAGUGGCUGCUCAGCUCAUAGCUGGGAGACGGUCCGCGUCGAGACCUAUGAAUGCGUCACUGUUUAUUUCAGUGACAUUGAGGGUUUCACCGCCAUGUCCGCCUCCCUCAAACCAAUGCAGGUGAUGAUAGACAUUGAAACAAGCCUUUAAACAGUGGUGGCAUGAAAAAACAUAUAUAUUCAGUGUUUAUAAAGGACUUAUACUGUAUGUAAUUGAUUGCAGGUGUGGCCUGAUCAGUCACUGGGUCAUAAGUGAGAUAGCAGUGUUAAAUGUUCAGUGUUAAUAGGACACUAUGCAGUGCACCAUUUACUCAUGCUAGUGUUGUUUAUUAACUCAUUAGUGUUGUAGCACUAAAACCUAAAGUGUUAAUUUUACACCGUUUGGAGUAUAUAUAUGGUCCCACACUACAAAAAGUAAAUAUUACAUUAUUAAAGUGUUAAACCUAGUAUUAAUGACAUUAAAUGGUGAAAAUGAAAUAAAA